UAGGCCUUGAGACCUAUGGGGUCAUUGUGUGCUGCAGCGAGGCCCUGCCGGCCUGACCAGAUGUGGUGAGCCCAUCCUAUGUCACUCGGAGGGGGCCAGAAUGGGAUCUCAACGGGAGUCCGGAGCACACAGCAGGCGUCCUGAAGCUCCCCCUCCCUCGCUGGAAAUCGGCUCAAGCAGGUCCUGAGGACAGGAGCCCUGGGGGUUUGGGCCUGUGACACGACGAGACACCCGCGGCCCCCGCUCCCACGCCGCCCCAAACAGGACCCAG
RNAcentral lists this long non-coding RNA (271 nucleotides) under Homo sapiens (human). Its description in RNAcentral is "LNC_000027". The record is from RNAcentral. Lineage: Eukaryota; Metazoa; Chordata; Mammalia; Primates; Hominidae.